Molecule: long non-coding RNA, 2264 nt
Filed under: Camelus dromedarius (Arabian camel)
Lineage: Eukaryota; Metazoa; Chordata; Mammalia; Artiodactyla; Camelidae
Description: lncRNA (ENSCDRG00005017493.1)
Source: RNAcentral
AUGCCUCAGGACUGCGAGCCGGAUUUGGGGAGGGGCAGCAGGGAGUUUUAUGAUGCGAGUCCAAGGGGUAGAGCUUCUGAUAAACAUCUGAGAACGUGCAGGGGCUGCGUUCUUUCCUCCCUGACGCAGCUGCAUCGGCUGUCGGUGGGGCCUCCGUUUCUGUGGUUGUCAGACCGUGUCCUCCCCCUCCGGUGGGCCUCGGUCUGGUGUUUGGCUUCUGCACAGGAGGUUAACAGUCCCGUCUCUGGACAUUUCUGUGCCUGGAACAAAGGACGCUUAAGUGGGAGGGGCUUUCGUGUUGCUUAUUAAAUGCUUCAUGACCCCCAGCGCAGAUGAAAGGCAGCUGUGCUGGCGAGGAGGUGGGCCGCAGUGGCAGAGUGGCAGUGGGCGGGCCCCUCACGCCGUCUGGAGCACGCGGCCCCAGCUGCAGGGCGCCGGCUGCUCUUGCAGUAAGCGUUGGCAAGGGUUUUAUAUUUCACACAGUGCCUGGAAGCUUGUGCUCUAAGUGAAUACCUGACAGCGUCUGAUUUACAUUUGGAAAUAAAACACCCCGCAGUCCCCCGUCUCCUAAAGCAUGUGUGUGCUCGUUUCUGUUGUGUGACCGCCACCCUGAUGUAAGUGUGGUGGAUACGUGUCUGUGUCCACAUCCAACGCCCGUGUGGUCCAUCCUCGCACCAGGCUGGGGCGCUGCUGACGGAGGGCCAAUUCCAGGACCACUGUCCAGGUCAGCCUUGCACAGUAGGGGCCCUAAACCAGGGGGGGACAGAUGUGGUGUGCUCAUGCUGUCCCUUCCCGUUUCAGCAGCCCUGCCAGACAUCACUAAUUGAUUACAGCUUUUUCAGUCAAACCACAGAAUACAGCUCAGCACCAAAUUCCAGACAGCCACCGUCAGUCACUCAUCGCUGUCAUGCGAGUAGGAACCCAGCUGCUUUUUGUCACCCUUACCCCAGAAGGUCACUGCAAUGGCCGUUGGACAGACCUGUCUUUGCUGCCAAGAGAAAUAGCCAUGGCUGUCAUGUGGGCCACAGGACACACACCACACACGCGAGCCCUGCCAUGUUAUGCGCCCAAAACAGUGGGCUAAGUAACUCCCUUGCCACAAGAUGCCCAUUUCCCCUGUGACUGAAUCAGGGCUAAAUGCAUCUUGCCUUCCCUCAUAGAAAUGACCUAAAUGAUACAGUGGCGCACAGACAACCCCUGCCAGGAGGACUGCUGGAAAUGUGAUCACUUAUCUUCCUGACUGAUGUCUAGCCAUGUUUCUAUUUCUGUAUCCGUCUAGAGCGGUGCCUGUCUAAACCUUUGUUAUUGCCGGUGAUUCCAGGGAGGUGGGAAUCAGCCUUUGAAUGCAGUAGAAGGUAGCGUCAAGCUGGUGAGAAAUACCCGUGGGUGUCCCUGGGGCCGUCAGCUGUGAGUCUGUUCACUCUGCAGACAGAAAAUGACCCAGAACACUUGCAUGGCAAGUGGAUUCAUCCAGAAGUCCCACCUCUGUCUGGAUUUUCCCUUAUCUUCUGUUCUUUUCUCCCUCAAAUUAAGUUGAUUUUAUGGAAAGAGAAGGGGAAAUUAACAAGAGGAAUGAACCCUCUGCCACAUGUCAGGAUCUUCUAAUCAAUACAAUGAGCCUGAGACACAGACAUUAUUAGCUCAUUUUUCAGAUGAGGCAACUAAGGCUCAUUGGGUUUAAGGCAUUUACCCAUGAUCUUCACAUUACCACUCAGAUUUAUUAAUGGCAGAGCCAACAUUCAGAUUGAGGUUUGAAAAAAAUUACGUUUGAAAAGCAAGGUAUAUUACUUUUCCUCUUUUAACAACUCAUGAGGACAAAAGAAAAUUAUUAAGUUUUUCUUUGAAAAAUGUUAUCAAAAUCUUUUGCUCUAACAGCCCAAACGUCCAUGGGUUCUGAUUUAUGAAAGAACAUGUGACUUGCUCCAUGACUUUCUGCUGAAGAAUGCAUUGGAGAGAGUUAAGGUCAUUCUCUGCAUGAUGCAGUCAGACAAACUGGAGGUUACUGGGGAAACAUGCAGAUGUUAACAAACAGCAUUGUUGUGCAGACUGACUUGGGGCAACGUCAUCCUGUUCACGCGAUGUCACCGAGUCCAAACUCGUUCUGCUCACCAUAUGUCAGGUCAGUAAAUCGGGAGAUGAGGCACUGGGGCAAAGAAUAACGACUUUAUUUGGAAAGUCAGCAGACUGAGAAGAUGGCAGACUAAUGUCCUGGAGAGCCAUCUUCCGCAAGUCAGAAUUCAGGCUCCUUUUAAAAGAAGAGGGUG